UGUCCACUUUCCUCAUGAACUUGCCUCUAAUCUGUAAACGUUCCAACUUUCUUCACCUACAGUACCGGAGAUACCUUUAUCACACACAGUUCUGAUCAUAGUCCAUGCCACUUCAAGAAUCUUCAAUGUCUCUCAGUGUCUAACUUCCAAGCUCCUGACAGGACAACUUCCCAGUUUACAUUUUCCCAGGCCCUAGGAGCCAAAUCUAAGAAGUAUCAAAGAUAAGGAAACUGAAACCCAGAGAAGUCACCAAGGCCAUUUAACAAUAAAGGUAGG
Sarcophilus harrisii (Tasmanian devil) is the source of this 276-nucleotide long non-coding RNA. RefSeq lists it as uncharacterized. NCBI's taxonomy places the organism in Eukaryota, Metazoa, Chordata, Mammalia, Dasyuromorphia, Dasyuridae. The transcript is spliced from 3 exons. The record is from RefSeq and is a predicted model, not a curated record.